This 477-nucleotide ribosomal RNA is filed under the name Cottus cognatus (slimy sculpin). RNAcentral's name for it is "partial large subunit ribosomal RNA". It matches the Rfam family "Bacterial large subunit ribosomal RNA", at positions 1857 to 2534 of the family's 2925-position model. Lineage: Eukaryota; Metazoa; Chordata; Actinopteri; Perciformes; Cottidae. The record is from RNAcentral.
GCCUGCCCUGUGACUAUUUGUUUAACGGCCGCGGUAUUUUGACCGUGCGAAGGUAGCGCAAUCACUUGUCUUUUAAAUGAAGACCCGUAUGAAUGGCAUAACGAGGGCUUAACUGUCUCCUCUUUCCAGUCAAUGAAGUUGAUCUUCCCGUGCAGAAGCGGGAAUAUAUUCAUAAGACGAGAAGACCCUAUGGAGCUUUAGACACAAAGGCAGCCCACGUUAAGCACCCCAGAUAACGGACUAAACCAAGUGAACCCUGCCCUAAUGUCUUUGGUUGGGGCGACCGCGGGGAAUUAAAGAACCCCCACGUGGAAUGGGAACACUUUUCCUACAACUAAGAGCUACAGCUCUAGAAAACAGAAUUUCUGACCAACAAGAUCCGGCAAUGCCGAUCAACGGACCGAGUUACCCUAGGGAUAACAGCGCAAUCCUCUUUUAGAGCCCAUAUCGACAAGGGGGUUUACGACCUCGAUGUUG